Molecule: long non-coding RNA, 356 nt
Filed under: Fukomys damarensis (Damara mole-rat)
Lineage: Eukaryota; Metazoa; Chordata; Mammalia; Rodentia; Bathyergidae
Description: lncRNA (ENSFDAG00000024195.1)
Source: RNAcentral
AUUUGGUUUUGUUCAAAUGACCUCCUGUUGCUCCAGACGGUUUAGAGAUAUACUCAUUAUCUACAUUAUUUUAAAUGCUGGGUAAAGAGCACCGAAUCAGUACUUGCACAUGAAUAUUGUGUUUUCAGGUCAUAGAGAGUGGGUACUGGGCCAACCAGGAGCGAAAGGGAGGUAGCAGGCUGGACCAUGUCUCCAGGAACCAGAGGGGCCGAUGAUAAUACUCACAGGUCUCGAGGUCCUGAGGCAACAUAUAAAAUGACCAACUAGAGAGGACACAGAAAGCCAAAGAUGUCCAAGGAUCCCCAGAUAUUUCAGCCCUCAUUGUCUCAGGUUUAAGACGUCUCCAGCUCCCACAC